Molecule: ribosomal RNA, 495 nt
Filed under: uncultured bacterium
Lineage: Bacteria
Description: partial 16S ribosomal RNA
Rfam family: Bacterial small subunit ribosomal RNA
Source: RNAcentral
GAUGAACGCUGGCGGCGUGCCUAAUACAUGCAAGUAGAACGCUGAAGGAGGAGCUUGCUCUUCUGGAUGAGUUGCGAACGGGUGAGUAACGCGUAGGUAACCUGCCUGGUAGCGGGGGAUAACUAUUGGAAACGAUAGCUAAUACCGCAUGACAACAGUUAUUGCAUGAUAACUGUUUAAAAGGGGCAACUGCUCCAUUACCAGAUGGACCUGCGUUGUAUUAGCUAGUUGGUGAGGUAACGGCUCACCAAGGCGACGAUACAUAGCCGACCUGAGAGGGGGAUCGGCCACACUGGGACUGAGACACGGCCCAGACUCCUACGGGAGGCAGCAGUAGGGAAUCUUCGGCAAUGGACGGAAGUCUGACCGAGCAACGCCGCGGGAGUGAAGAAGGUUUUCGGAUCGUAAAGCUCUGUUGUAAGAGAAGAACGAGUGUGAGAGUGGAAAGUUCACACUGUGACGGUAUCUUACCAGAAAGGGACGGCUAACUACGUG